CUUCGAGGGGACAUCAGUUGGGAAAGGAAGGGAUGGGUCCUAUGGCGUCAUGUGAUGGAUAAGAGCGGGAGGAACAGCUCAGAAGCUCAUCGGAGCUUCAUCUCUAGAGUAAUCAGCCCAACCCUAGACCAGGAGAAGGCGCCAUCUGCAUCUUUAUGAGCUCAAGGUGAAGGCGUGGUUGGAGCUCGAGCACCAAAGCCUUACGGAUCGGAAUCAAAUGGUUUCGUGCAUUAUGGAAAGAGAGGAUACUGGGGACGAAGACCUAGAGCCGUUUGAUCUGUAAUCAGUGGUUUGGGGUUGGUUCAACUAGGUUACUUGGUGGAUCAUCGCUACAAAACUGGCUUUUAAACAAUCAUAUUGCAUUCAAUAAUUAAGUUUAUGCUGUAGUUUUAUUUUUACUUCAGUUUGAUCUGAGUAGUUGUGCUAAUAUAGUUGUUGCUCCCACAAUUUUUUUGUUACUCACUAUUUUUCCUUCUUUGUUAAGCCAUAACAUGGCUUUAUUAAUAUAAUAAAAUAUUAUUUACUUUUCA
Molecule: long non-coding RNA, 530 nt
Organism: Phalaenopsis equestris
Lineage: Eukaryota; Viridiplantae; Streptophyta; Magnoliopsida; Asparagales; Orchidaceae
Exons: 3
Source: RefSeq, a predicted model, not a curated record